GGAUUAGCUAGUAGGUGGGGUAACGGCUCACCUAGGCGACGAUCCCUAGCUGGUCUGAGAGGAUGACCAGCCACACUGGAACUGAGACACGGUCCAGACUCCUACGGGAGGCAGCAGUGGGGAAUAUUGCACAAUGGGCGCAAGCCUGAUGCAGCCAUGCCGCGUGUAUGAAGAAGGCCUUCGGGUUGUAAAGUACUUUCAGCGGGGAGGAA
RNAcentral lists this ribosomal RNA (212 nucleotides) under Escherichia coli. Its description in RNAcentral is "partial 16S ribosomal RNA". It matches the Rfam family "Bacterial small subunit ribosomal RNA", at positions 238 to 449 of the family's 1533-position model. Lineage: Bacteria; Pseudomonadati; Pseudomonadota; Gammaproteobacteria; Enterobacterales; Enterobacteriaceae. RNAcentral also lists the same sequence under 1 other name. The record is from RNAcentral.